Molecule: long non-coding RNA, 1080 nt
Organism: Perognathus longimembris pacificus (Pacific pocket mouse)
Lineage: Eukaryota; Metazoa; Chordata; Mammalia; Rodentia; Heteromyidae
Exons: 3
Source: RefSeq, a predicted model, not a curated record
GAGUGGCAGGAGAUUAACAUACCCAGGAAGCAAUAUCUGUGAAGUCCUCGUCACUCGGGGCAUCUGGCCCCAACGCGGUCCAAAGCCCAGUUACCUUGAAGUUCUCCACGCAGACCUUGCUGUUCCACAGCCGAGCACAAUGGGAACAGCGCAUGCCGAGCGCAGGGAGGGAACUGAGCAGAACAUGUUUCUCUCUCGGAGUCUUCAUGUGUUCUGCCUCGAAUGUUCAGAACAUUCUGCUCUGGGUGCUGUUCCUGAGAGAAACAGGGAGGCCUCCUCGCCCAUGGGUGAUGAAAUGCCCUUGCCAGGCUCUUCCGCACGUACUGGACAGAAGAGAUCCUCCUGGGUUUGCCUGUUUCAGACUUGGCUAGACAGGAGAAAAUUCUCACACACGGAUCCCUGGUUUGUUCCAAGCCCAGCCCAGGAGACUCAGCAGAGUUUUUUCAGAUGCUUCUUCAGGCCUUGAUGAUCAGCUCUUUUUUGUUGUAUGUAAACAGCUUGAGAUCCAGCCAGUCCCUAAAGAAGUCCUAUAAACGUGAAUGUGCUAGCUAACCAAGAAUGAACAGCCGGCACUGCCUUGGACUCCAUAGACCUGGCUCCGAGACUCCAGGCCAGCGCCCCUGCCCUUGGCCUUCAGCUUGCCAAGGAGCUGAUCCCUUCAAGUGGUUCAUUCUUGUCUGAACCACACCAGCUAUCUUAAGGCCCCGCAGGCUAUAGAAAUGAUUUGGGUGGACACUUAGCCAAAUAAGAAACUCCAUGGCCAGGAAGCUCCCAGAGAGCAAAACUGAAGAGAGGACAUGAAUUAUCAUCCCGAUUUGUCAUCCCUACCUGUGAAAGCAGGCUAGAAUGACAUUUUAAAUUUCCUCACAACAAAUACCCAUAUGUAUCUGUUUCCUAGAAAUUCAUUGGAAGCACUCAUCUGUUUUUAGCCUUUUAUUAUCUAACGGGUGGAGAAUGCUCAAGGUUUAUUAUUUCCACUAAUCUCUUUUUGUUUUCCUUUAAAAUUCCCUUAGACUUGACUUCUGUUUCUGGAAUUCUAGGGCUUGGGAGACUAAAUAAUUGCAUAGUGACAGAAAUGUU